UACGUAGGGUGCGAGCGUUGUCCGGAAUUACUGGGUGUAAAGGGAGCGUAGGCGGGACUGCAAGUCAGAUGUGAAAACUAUAGGCUUAACCUAUAGACUGCAUUUGAAACUGUGGUUCUUGAGUGAAGUAGAGGAUGGCGGAAUUCCUAGUGUAGCGGUGAAAUGCGUAGAUAUUAGGAGGAACACCAGUGGCGAAGGCGGCCAUCUGGGCUUUUACUGACGCUGAGGCUCGAAAGCGUGGGGAGCAAACAGG
This 253-nucleotide ribosomal RNA is filed under the name uncultured bacterium. RNAcentral describes it as "partial 16S ribosomal RNA". It matches the Rfam family "Bacterial small subunit ribosomal RNA", at positions 524 to 776 of the family's 1533-position model. The record is from RNAcentral.